RNAcentral lists this ribosomal RNA (1163 nucleotides) under human gut metagenome. RNAcentral's name for it is "bacterial LSU rRNA". It matches the Rfam family "Bacterial large subunit ribosomal RNA", at positions 1766 to 2925 of the family's 2925-position model. The record is from RNAcentral.
GCUUAGGGCGGUUGCAAUAAAGAGGCCGGUGCGACUGUUUAACAAAAACACAGCUCUAUGCCAACUCGUAAGAGGAUGUAUAUGGAGUGACACGUGACCAAUGCCAAAAGGUCAAUGGGAGAGGUUAGCGCAAGCGAAGCUUCGAUCUGAAGCCCUGGUGAAUGUCGGCCGUAACUAUAACGGUCCUAAGGUAGCGAAAUUCCUUGUCGGGUAAGUUCCGACCUGCACGAAUCGUGUAACGAUGCCGGCACUGUCUCAACGUGGAUCUCGGCGAAGUUGUAAUUCCGGUGAAAAUGCCGGAUACCUGCGGAAGGACGGAAAGACCCCAUGAACCUUUACUGUAAUCUGAUAUUGGUAUUUGAUUGUUCUUGUGUAGCAUAGGUGGGAGGCUGUGAAGCCGCUACGCCAGUACCGGUGGAGCCACAGGUGAAAUACCACCCUGGUGCAAUUAGAUAUCUAACGGAGUCCCGUGAAUCCGGGCUCCGGACCGUGUCAGAGGGUCAGUUUGACUGGGGCGGUUUCCUCCUAAAUUGUAACGGAGGAGCCCGAAGGUACACUCAGCACGGUUGGCAAUCGUGUGAAGAGCGUAAGGGUAGAAGUGUGCUUUACUGUAAGACAGACAUGUCGAGCAGUUGCGAAAGCAGGGCCUAGUGAUCCAGCGAUGGAAUGUGGAAUCGUCGUUGCUCAACGGAUAAAAGGUACUCUGGGGAUAACAGGCUGAUAGCGCCCAAGCGUCCAUAGCGACGGCGCUGUUUGGCACCUCGAUGUCGACUCAUCACAUCCUGGGGCUGUAGAAGGUCCCAAGGGUUCGGCUGUUCGCCGAUUAAAGUGGUACGCGAGUUGGGUUCAGAACGUCGUGAGACAGUUCGGUCCUUAUCCUCCGCAGGCGCAGGAUAUUUGAUGGGAUCAUUCCUUAGUACGAGAGGACCGGGAAUGACUGACCUCUGGUGUUCCGGUUGUGGCGUCAGCUGCAUUGCCGGGUAGCUAUGUCGGGAACGGAUAAGCGCUGAAAGCAUCUAAGCGCCAAGCCCACCCAAAGACGAGAUAUCCCUCCCCGCAAGGGGCUGAAGGCCGGUCAAAGACUAUGACCUUGAUAGGAUGGCGGUGUAAGUACAGCAAUGUAUUCAGCUUACCAUUACUAAUCGGCCGUGAGGCUUAACCAC